Molecule: ribosomal RNA, 441 nt
Filed under: uncultured bacterium
Lineage: Bacteria
Description: partial 16S ribosomal RNA
Rfam family: Bacterial small subunit ribosomal RNA
Source: RNAcentral
CCUACGGGAGGCAGCAGUGGGGAAUAUUGCACAAUGGGGGAAACCCUGAUGCAGCAACGCCGCGUGAAGGAAGACGGUUCUCGGAUUGUAAACUUUCGUUCUUCGUGGAGAAUAAUGACGGUCGCUAAGGCGCAUGCCACGGCUAACUAAGUUCCAGCCGCCGAGGUCAUACGCAGGUGGCAAGGGUUGUCCGGAAUUACUGGGGGUAACGGGAGUGUAGGCGGGAAGCCAAGUCAGCUGUGAAAACUUUGGGCUUAACUUGUAGACUGCAGUUGAUACUGGUUGUCUUGAGUGAAGUAGAGGUAGGCGGAAUGCGGGGUGUAGCGGUGAAAUGCGUAGAUAUUUGGAAGAACUCCGAUUGCGAAGGCAGCCAACUGGGCUGUAACUGACGCUGAUGCUCGAAAGUGUGGGGAGCAAACAGGAUUAGAUACCCGAGUAGUC